Molecule: ribosomal RNA, 254 nt
Filed under: uncultured bacterium
Lineage: Bacteria
Description: partial 16S ribosomal RNA
Rfam family: Bacterial small subunit ribosomal RNA
Source: RNAcentral
UACGGAGGGUGCGAGCGUUAAUCGGAAUGACUGGGCGUAAAGGGCGCGUAGGCGGACUGUUGUGUUUGAUGUGAAAUUCUUAGGCUUAACCUUGGAAUGACGUUGAAGACUAGCAGUACUUGAGUGAGGUAGAGAGAAGUGGAAUUCCCGGUGUAGCGGUGAAAUGCGUAGAGAUCGGGAGGAAUACCAGUGGCGAAGGCGGCUUCUUGGACCUUAACUGACGCUGAGGCGCGAGAGCGUGGGGAGCAAACAGG